Molecule: long non-coding RNA, 1180 nt
Organism: Theobroma cacao (cacao)
Lineage: Eukaryota; Viridiplantae; Streptophyta; Magnoliopsida; Malvales; Malvaceae
Source: RefSeq, a predicted model, not a curated record
CCAGCAGUCAACCCGUUCGUCUAAACCCUUACUGGGUUCCCGACGACGUCGCCUUCGCCGGCCUAGGCCUUUCAGGCAGCGGCUUCUUCUUUCUUUCCCUUUACUUUUUUCUUCUUUUCUUCUCUUCCCCUUCCUUCUGCCACCGUUCUUCUUCUCGGAGUGCAAGGUCUCCUUCACUCUAAAAACUGUAUAAAAACCUCGAAAUCUAUCCUAUCCGUAUCACCCACCUCUCUCUCUCAAAAAAAGAAAACAUAUUUGUCUUUCUCUCUAAUAAUCCAUUGAAUCAGGUCCCAACAUGGAGCCCACUUGUGAUGAAGGCUGAGCCAACUGCUGCACUAGUUGCUGCAUAUCAGUUUGGGAUGUCUGUUCGUUUGAUGAGAAAUAUUUGCUUCUGGAAGGAAAUCCUGGCAUUGCCAGUUUUAGAGAAGCUUGCUCUUGAUGACCUUUUGUAUGGUAAAAUUUUGCCUCAUGUUCGUAAUAUUACUUCAGAUGUUCAAUAUGCUGUCAAAAGAACAGAACGCAUUGUAGCUUCUCUAUCAGGGUGUGGGCAGGCACAAAUGCCACACAAGAUUCCAGAAACCUGUGCAGUCACAAGUUGCAGCCGCUGGUGGAUUGUGUGUUGUUGUUAGGAAAAACAUUGGAGAGAAGGCUUGCAUAUGGUGUGACUGAAAGUGAGACUGGUGGACUAGCUCGUCGGUUGAAGAAAAUGUUGGUUGAGCGCAAUGAGUAUGACAGUGCUAGGGAUAUAGCAAGGAGGUUCCAUCUGAAGGAAGCAUUUUGAAUUAUGCUAUGAAGCGUGUGAUAUGAUUAACCUGACUGAGUGAAGCUAGUUACAGGUGUCCAUGAAUUGAAGGUAUUGGGUAUACUUGAAUAAUACGGCAAGAGAUCACCAUUGCAAAUUUAAAUUUGGAGGGUAGCCUUCGAGAGCAUAGGUUGGGCUGUAACUAGGAUGCUCUCUCUAUGGACUCUAGUUCUUUUCCCUCCCCACUUUUAACUUCUAAUUCCCUCUUUUUCCAUUAUAACCAUUUAUCUUAGACCUCUGAUGUUAAGUUGGAAGUCUGUGCUCUCUCAUAUUUUCGAUAGUCUUCUAAGUUCUAACUGAAAGCUCUUUUGAGUUCUUUGAAAAACCUUGUAAAAUUUUGGGAUGCAAUAUAAUUCUUUUGCUAGUGUUUCUGGUCCA